AUGCCGACCUUGGCUUCCAUGGCGAUUCCAGAAGAAGGACCGGUGCCUUUCGAGGACGCCCUUGUUGUUAUAGGCACAUACCUCGUAUCCUCGCCGCAGCAGCGCGAGGAAGAGCAUGCCGACCUUGUCGCCACCCUGCCGAGCGCGCUGGAGGCCAACGGUGUCAAGAAGCUCCGUCUUUACCAGGGCUUUUGGAUACGGGAUAUCCACGUCCCGGCGGCCAUCGCCCUCCAGCGGCAAUUCGAGCCCCGCCCCGACGACGUCAUUGUGGCCAGCUUGCCCAAGUGCGGCACCACGUGGCUCAACGCCUUGACCUUCGCGACGAUGGCACGCAAGGCCUACCCACCCGCCAGCGCCGACCACCCGCUCCGCCGGCUGAACCCGCACCAGUGCCUACCUUUCCUGGAGGGCCUGUUCAAGGGCGGCCGGGAGGCGGAGCUCGAGCUGCUCCCGUCCCCGCGCCUGAUGAACACGCACAUGCCGCUCCCAAUGGUGCCGUCGGCCGUGCCCGGCUGCCGGGUCGUCUACGUAUGCAGGGACCCGAAGGACAUGGCCGUCUCGGCGUGGCAUUUCCUCCGCCGCCUGCAGCCGGACCUGGCGUUCGCCGUCGUCUUCGAGUCCGUCUGCGACGGCGCGGUGGCGUUCGGCCCGGUAUGGGACCACGUCCUCAGCUACUGGCGCGCGAGCACGGCGAUGCCGGACAAGGUGCUCUUCCUGCGGUACGAGGAGCUGCUCCGCGACCCGGCCAAGAACGUCCGAAAGCUGGCGCGGUUCAUCGGAAUGCCAUUCUCCGCAGCGGAGGACGAGGCCGGCACCGUCGACAGCAUCGUCCAGCUCUGCAGCUUCGGGCACCUCAAGGGCCUGGACGCCAACAAAACCGGGCACUUGGAUCCACUCCUCCCCGUCCCGCGUGAUGCGCUCUUCAGGAAUGGGGCGUCCGGCGAUUGGGUGAACCACAUGACGCCGGAAAUGGCGAGCCGUCUGGACAAGAUCGUAGCUGAUAAAAUGCGCGGGACAGGGCUCACUUUUCAGUGA
Molecule: ribosomal RNA, 1035 nt
Filed under: Triticum aestivum (bread wheat)
Lineage: Eukaryota; Viridiplantae; Streptophyta; Magnoliopsida; Poales; Poaceae
Description: partial small subunit ribosomal RNA
Source: RNAcentral